CUACGGGGGGCUGCAGUAGGGAAUAUUGGUUAAUGGGCGAAAGCCUGAACCAGCAACGCCGCGUGCGCGAUGAAGGCCUUCGGGCUGUAAAGCGCUUUUUGAGGGGAUGAGAAAGGACAGUACCCUCAGAAUAAGUCUCGGCUAACUACGUGCCAGCAGCCGCGGUAAAACGUAGGAGGCGAGCGUUAUCCGGAUUUACUGGGCGUAAAGCGCGUGCAGGCGGUUCGGUAAGUUGGAUGUGAAAGCUCCUGGCUAAACUGGGGGAGGUCGUUCAAUACUGCCGGGCUAGAGGAUGGGAGAGGGAGGUGGAAUUCCGGGUGUAGUGGUGAAAUGCGUAGAUAUCCGGAGGAACACCAGUGGCGAAGGCGGCCUCCUGGCCCAUAUCUGACGCUCAGACGCGAAAGCUAGGGUAGCAAACGGGAUUAGCUACCCCGGUAGUC
This 440-nucleotide ribosomal RNA is filed under the name uncultured bacterium. RNAcentral's name for it is "partial 16S ribosomal RNA". It matches the Rfam family "Bacterial small subunit ribosomal RNA", at positions 339 to 795 of the family's 1533-position model. The record is from RNAcentral.